This 637-nucleotide ribosomal RNA is filed under the name uncultured bacterium. RNAcentral describes it as "bacterial SSU rRNA". It matches the Rfam family "Bacterial small subunit ribosomal RNA", at positions 56 to 726 of the family's 1533-position model. The record is from RNAcentral.
UGCAGUCGCACGAGAAGGGACUUCGGUCCUGAGUACAGUGGCGCACGGGUGAGUAACACGUGAAUCAUCUACCUUCGAGUGGGGAAUAACUGAGAGAAAUCUUAGCUAAUACCGCAUAAUACCUACGGGUCAAAGCAGCAAUGCGCUUGAAGAGGAGUUCGCGGCAGAUUAGUUAGUUGGCGGGGUAAUGGCCCACCAAGACGAUGAUCUGUAUCCGGCCUGAGAGGGCGCACGGACACACUGGAACUGAAACACGGUCCAGACUCCUACGGGAGGCAGCAGUGGGGAAUUUUGCGCAAUGGGGGAAACCCUGACGCAGCAACGCCGCGUGGAGGAUGAAAUCCCUUGGGAUGUAAACUCCUUUCGAUAGGGAAGAUAAUGACGGUACCUAUAGAAGAAGCCCCGGCUAACUUCGUGCCAGCAGCCGCGGUAAUACGAGGGGGGCAAGCGUUGUUCGGAAUUAUUGGGCGUAAAGGGUGCGUAGGCGGUUUGACAAGUCUUAUGUGAAAUCUUCGGGCUCAACCCGAAGUCUGCAUGGGAAACUGUCGAGCUUGAGUAUGGGAGAGGUGAGUGGAAUUUCCCGGUGUAGCGGUGAAAUGCGUAGAUAUCGGAAGGAACACCUGUGGCGAAAGCGGCU